AAUAAAAUAAAAUAAAAUAAAAACUCAAGUAGAAACAUAUGCUUGACCCACUUCUCUCUUGUCUUUGAGUUUUUUGUAUGAAAAUAAACUUCUCAAAAUGUAAAUUUUUUAUAUUUGGGUAGUAAUCAUAAGCACAAAAACAUAUUUGGCUUCAAAUUGAAACUGAAGUAAGGUUUUUUUUGUGUAAUUAACCCACUUGGGUUAUUUUCAACAUUCAGUCAUCUUUCUUUGCUUUUCCUUCUUUUUCUUUUCAUUUUUAGUUAAGAGGGAACAACAUUCCAUUCAUGUUAUGGUGUCUGAAAUUAUUAUUCAUGAGGCUUUUAUAUCACGUCUGAACUCCUGAAAAGGGCAUCACAAAAAAAUGGGGAAACAGAAGAUGUCUCUUCACAAUUCAAAAGGCUCAGAAGAAGGCACUUCUCAAAAUUUUUGUUAAAGCAACUAAAAAGUGCUUCCAAGGUGCAUUUGGGAUGUUUUGAUAUGAAUAUUUAAAAACAUCUCAAAAGCAGUCUAUAUUUGUUUUUUUUUUUUUUUUAAUUGCAUGA
Molecule: unclassified non-coding RNA, 542 nt
Filed under: Hevea brasiliensis (rubber tree)
Lineage: Eukaryota; Viridiplantae; Streptophyta; Magnoliopsida; Malpighiales; Euphorbiaceae
Source: RNAcentral